This 263-nucleotide ribosomal RNA is filed under the name uncultured Actinomycetales bacterium. Its description in RNAcentral is "partial 16S ribosomal RNA". It matches the Rfam family "Bacterial small subunit ribosomal RNA", at positions 505 to 767 of the family's 1533-position model. Lineage: Bacteria; Bacillati; Actinomycetota; Actinomycetes; Actinomycetales. The record is from RNAcentral.
GUGCCAGCAGCCGCGGUAAUACGUAGGGUGCAAGCGUUGUCCGGAAUUAUUGGGCGUAAAGAGCUCGUAGGCGGUCUGUCGCGUCGGCUGUGAAAACUCGGGGCUCAACCCCGAGCCUGCAGUCGAUACGGGCAGACUAGAGUGCUGUAGGGGAGACUGGAAUUCCUGGUGUAGCGGUGAAAUGCGCAGAUAUCAGGAGGAACACCGGUGGCGAAGGCGGGUCUCUGGGCAGUAACUGACGCUGAGGAGCGAAAGCGUGGGGA